Trematomus bernacchii (emerald rockcod) is the source of this 102-nucleotide long non-coding RNA. RefSeq lists it as uncharacterized. The record is from RefSeq and is a predicted model, not a curated record. NCBI's taxonomy places the organism in Eukaryota, Metazoa, Chordata, Actinopteri, Perciformes, Nototheniidae. The transcript has 3 exons.
CUUCUGGAUCUUGGCUCUGAUCGUCUCAUCAUCUCUGAUCCUGAGGGUCUCCAGUCUGCAGUCUGGACUCUCCAGAAGAUCUCCCAGCAGCUCCUCUCCUGA